RNAcentral lists this long non-coding RNA (322 nucleotides) under Mustela putorius furo (domestic ferret). Its description in RNAcentral is "lncRNA (ENSMPUG00000029320.1)". The record is from RNAcentral. Lineage: Eukaryota; Metazoa; Chordata; Mammalia; Carnivora; Mustelidae.
CAAUAGCACGAGGCCAAGCCUAGGCGUUAGGAGACCUCGCAUGUUUCUGCUCUGUUCUCUUAAGCCCCAAUUAAUUAUCAAGAGGACCUUCCCCAGAGAGCUGCUGCCUGCUCAUCUAAGCCAAAGAACAUGCACACCAGAGGAGCCUUGAGCCCAGGGCUGGCGGAGCUGCUAAGCCCAGCCAAGAUCAGCAAAUUCCUGCCAACCCAAAGGCUUGCACCCCUGUCCAUGCACAAGUUCAUGUACCCUGGAAAGGUGUGAACCACAGCAAGCCGGACUCCAGCCAUCCUGGAACCCUGAUCUUGAACUUCCAGCCUCUAGA